CCUACGGGUGGCAGCAGUGGGGAAUAUUGGGCAAUGGGCGAAAGCCUGACCCAGCAACGCCGCGUGAAGGAAGAAGGCUUUCGGGUUGUAAACCUCUUUUCUCAGGGACGAAGGAAGUGACGGUACCUGAAGAAUAAGCCACGGCUAACUACGUGCCAGCAGCCGCGGUAAUACGGAGGGGGCAAGCGUUAUGCGGAUUUACUGGGUGUAAAGGGCGUGUAGGCGGGACUGCAAGUCAGAUGUGAAAACCACGGGCUCAACCUGUGGCCUGCAUUUGAAACUGUAGGUCUUGAGUACUGGAGAGGCAGACGGAAUUCCUAGUGUAGCGGUGAAAUGCGUAGAUAUUAGGAGGAACACCAGUGGCGAAGGCGGUCUGCUGGACAGCAACUGACGCUGAGGCGCGAAAGCGUGGGGAGCAAACAGGAUUAGAUACCCUUGUAGUC
RNAcentral lists this ribosomal RNA (443 nucleotides) under uncultured bacterium. RNAcentral describes it as "partial 16S ribosomal RNA". It matches the Rfam family "Bacterial small subunit ribosomal RNA", at positions 338 to 795 of the family's 1533-position model. The record is from RNAcentral.